MicroRNA precursor from Astatotilapia calliptera (eastern happy), 59 nucleotides. Ensembl annotates it as microRNA 92a-1. Lineage: Eukaryota; Metazoa; Chordata; Actinopteri; Cichliformes; Cichlidae. The record is from Ensembl.
AGGUUGGGAGAGGUGGCAAUGCUCUGUGCUUGUGUGGUAUUGCACUUGUCCCGGCCUGU